This 253-nucleotide ribosomal RNA is filed under the name uncultured bacterium. RNAcentral describes it as "partial 16S ribosomal RNA". It matches the Rfam family "Bacterial small subunit ribosomal RNA", at positions 524 to 776 of the family's 1533-position model. The record is from RNAcentral.
UACGAAGGUCCCGAGCGUUGUUCGGAAUCACUGGGCGUAAAGGGAGCGUAGGCGGUGCGGUAAGUCAGAUGUGAAAUCCCGGGGCUCAACCCCGGAACUGCAUCCGAUACUGCCGUGCUAGAGGAUUGGAGAGGUAGCUGGAAUUCUUGGUGUAGCAGUGAAAUGCGUGGAUAUCAUGAGGAACGCUAAUGGCGUAGGCAGCAUACUGGACAGUUACUGACGCUGAGGCACGAAGGCUAGGGGAGCAAACAGG